RNAcentral lists this ribosomal RNA (292 nucleotides) under uncultured bacterium. RNAcentral describes it as "partial 16S ribosomal RNA". It matches the Rfam family "Bacterial small subunit ribosomal RNA", at positions 505 to 796 of the family's 1533-position model. The record is from RNAcentral.
GUGUCAGCAGCCGCGGUAAUACGUAGGGACCAAGCGUUGUUCGGAUUUACUGGGCGUAAAGGGCGCGUAGGCGGUUUGUCAAGUCAGUUGUGAAAUCUCCGAGCUUAACUCGGAACGGUCAACUGAUACUGUCAAACUAGAGUACAGAAGGGGCAAUCGGAAUUCUUGGUGUAGCGGUGAAAUGCGUAGAUAUCAAGAGGAACACCUGAGGUGAAGACGGGUUGCUGGGCUGAUACUGACGCUGAGGCGCGAAAGCUAGGGUAGCAAACGGGAUUAGAUACCCCCGUAGUCC